GUCCAGUCCCUGGAAGAUGAAGUUAGUUAGCAUUUGGUGCCCAGCCAGCAGCAAUGUGACUUAGGCUUUUCGUCCUAGUAGGAAUUUGACUCAUUGGGCCUGCAAAAGAUUUUCGUGACAAAUGAAAUAUUUUUCUAAACCAAGGACUUGGGGAUAACUUCAGGGUCAAAGACAUCUUAUCAUAUUUAAGAACAGCCACAGGAUGUCUAGGAGCCAGCAGAGGGGCCAGAUAUGCUGCAGUUUAUGCUGUAAAAGGAAGCCUGCCGCCGUGAGUGGUCCAGUGGGAGCUCUUGCUUUGUGUCCUCAGCCUUUCACCUUUCCAUCUGAUGACUUGCUCUGAAUCUUCACUUCCUGGGCAGAGCUCUGAGUAUAGAUGAGGCAAACUUCACAUGGAAAAGAAGCCAUAUUUUGAAAAAACUACACGGAAUCAAAGAGAACUAACUCAAAGAAGCAAAAUUUUGGAGAUAAAACAAGACCCUAUGUUCACCAGAAGGAUCCUCAUGUCUGCAGACUACAUUAAGAGGGAGGAUAUGCCUCUGUGAAUCCAACUGAUAGGUAUCUCCUGUGUGCCAGGGAAUGGCAGGGCCAUGGCUCUCUCAAAGCCAUGCUCAUAAAAAGCCUCCUCUGCAUCGACUUCCAGUCCCAUUUGAUUCUCAAGCAAGGAGUUCCAUCCGAGAAGGAAGCUGUCACCUGUCACUCUUUUAUGAAUUCUUAAGGACAGUGGAAGAGUUGAAAGGUUGGCAAUCACAAUGACAAUAGGCUAU
This 764-nucleotide long non-coding RNA is filed under the name Homo sapiens (human). RNAcentral describes it as "HSALNT0311152". The record is from RNAcentral. Lineage: Eukaryota; Metazoa; Chordata; Mammalia; Primates; Hominidae.